Molecule: ribosomal RNA, 520 nt
Filed under: uncultured Glomus
Lineage: Eukaryota; Fungi; Glomeromycota; Glomeromycetes; Glomerales; Glomeraceae
Description: SSU rRNA
Rfam family: Eukaryotic small subunit ribosomal RNA
Source: RNAcentral
AGCAGCCGCGGUAAUUCCAGCUCUAAUAGCGUAUAUUAAAGUUGUUGCAGUUAAAAAGCUCGUAGUUGAAUUUCGGGGUCAGUAGGCUGGUCGUGCCACGGGUACGUACUGGUCUUACUGAUUCCUCCUUCCUGAAGAACCGUAAUGCCAUUAAUUUGGUGUUGCGGGGAAACAGGACUGUUACUUUGAAAAAAUUAGAGUGUUUAAAGCAGGCUAACGCUUGAAUACAUUAGCAUGGAAUAAUGAAAUAGGACGAUCGAUCCUAUUUUGUUGGUUUCUAGGAUUGACGUAAUGAUUAAUAGGGAUAGUUGGGGGCAUUAGUAUUCAAUUGUCAGAGGUGAAAUUCUUGGAUUUAUUGAAGACUAACUACUGCGAAAGCAUUUGCCAAGGAUGUUUUCAUUAAUCAAGAACGAAAGUUAGGGGAUCGAAGACGAUCAGAUACCGUCGUAGUCUUAACCAUAAACUAUGCCGACUAGGGAUCGGAUGAUGUUAAUUUUAUAAUGACUCAUUCGGCGCCUUA